This is a long non-coding RNA of Harmonia axyridis, 856 nucleotides long. RefSeq lists it as uncharacterized. The record is from RefSeq and is a predicted model, not a curated record. Lineage: Eukaryota; Metazoa; Arthropoda; Insecta; Coleoptera; Coccinellidae. The transcript has 5 exons.
GAUGGCAUUCCACCUUUGGCUCCAGGAAUGGCUUCAGCAGUGCCCUUACCACCAAGCUGGCCAAAUGAGAGUCAAAACAUUCCGUAUGGUCUUAAGCCAAAGAAAAAGUGGAAUACACCAGUACCGCUGAAAAAAGCGAAUUGGAUAACAAUCCCUCCUCGAAAAAUGAUCGAGAAGUCGUUUUGGAUCAAUGUGGAAGAGGAGAAGUUUGCCAAUGACGAAAUAUUGAGAGAGUUGGAUGAAAAGUUUUUCCCGGUUACUAAGCUGAAACCAGAAAAUGAAGAGAAAAAUAUUUACCCAGUGCAGAACAAAUGGAAAAGCUCAAAGAAUUCAAGGACUCUUAUGAAGAAUUAACAGAGGCGGAACAAUUCUGUUUGAAAAUAUCAGAGAUAGAAAGGCCACUGCCCAGGUUGAAAUCUUUGCAAUUUAUUCACUUUUACCAUGAGAUCAAAAGUGACAUGAAACCUAGUAUUCAAGUAGUUAUAGAUGCUUCUAACGAGGUUAAAAAUAGAACGAAAUUAGCAGAAAUUCUAGAACUGAUACUGCUAUUAGGAAACUACAUGAAUAGUGGUAGCCGGAAUGAACGAGCGUUUGGUUUCGAAAUUAAUUUUCUAAUAAAUCAUUUUCGCUAAUGAAAACGAUCGAUCACUCUCAUCAACAUCUGGUAAACUACUAUGAAGAAAUGCCCCAUAUUGAUGAAGCAUGUCGAGUCUCAUUGAAUACCAUAAAUAAAUCUCUGAAACAGUUAAACGGUAGCAUUGGAAAUGUUGGAAAAAGACAAGCAAACACUUAAGAGACAGGUGAAGCUCCUUUUGCUAGGAGCUGGAGAGAGUUGAAAAUCCACAUUUCUCAAACA